UACGAAGGGGGCUAGCGUUGCUCGGAAUUACUGGGCGUAAAGGGCGCGUAGGCGGCUCUGUUAGUCAGGCGUGAAAUUCCUGGGCUCAACCUGGGGACUGCGCUUGAUACGGCAGAGCUUGAGGAUGGAAGAGGGUCGCGGAAUUCCCAGUGUAGAGGUGAAAUUCGUAGAUAUUGGGAAGAACACCGGUGGCGAAGGCGGCGACCUGGUCCAUUACUGACGCUGAGGCGCGACAGCGUGGGGAGCAAAAAGG
Molecule: ribosomal RNA, 253 nt
Filed under: uncultured bacterium
Lineage: Bacteria
Description: partial 16S ribosomal RNA
Rfam family: Bacterial small subunit ribosomal RNA
Source: RNAcentral